Molecule: ribosomal RNA, 497 nt
Filed under: uncultured bacterium
Lineage: Bacteria
Description: partial 16S ribosomal RNA
Rfam family: Bacterial small subunit ribosomal RNA
Source: RNAcentral
GAUGAACGCUGGCGGCGUGCCUAAUACAUGCAAGUCGAGCGAACAGAUGAGGAGCUUGCUCCUCUGACGUUAGCGGCGGACGGGUGAGUAACACGUGGAUAACCUACCUAUAAGACCGGGAUAACUUCGGGAAACCGGAGCUAAUACCGGAUAAUAUAUUGAACCGCAUGGUUCAAUAGUGAAAGACGGUUUUGCUGUCACUUAUAGAUGGAUCCGCGCCGCAUUAGCUAGUUGGUAAGGUAACGGCUUACCAAGGCAACGAUGCGUAGCCGACCUGAGAGGGUGAUCAGCCACACUGGAACUGAGACACGGUCCAGACUCCUACGGGAGGCAGCAGUAGGGAAUCUUCCGCAAUGGGCGAAAGCCUGACGGAGCAACGCCGCGUGAGUGAUGAAGGUCUUCGGAUCGUAAAACUCUGUUAUUAGGGAAGAACAAAUGUGUAAGUAACUAUGCACGUCUUGACGGUACCUAAUCAGAAAGCCACGGCUAACUACGUG